AAAGAGGAUAAUAUAUUUUUUUCAAUUGGUUGUGACUCUUUAUGGCCGAGGACAAGGGAUGGGUAUGCUGCAUCAUCUGCGUCCGCGCGUCCGUCCAACAUAUAUCAGCAAAUUAAUCCAACUCACCUCAUCGAUCGAGGUGCAUGCUCUGCAGCCAAAUCAAGGGCGCAGAAAGGAAUCCGAGCAAAACAACCGCGCAUGGUCAGGGCACGCAAUAUAUGAAAACCGAGAUUCUGGUCCGACAUGCAUGCAAUCGUACGUCAGGCUCAUCAAAUUUUUUAAUGCAUUGUCCAUGGAGAUAGAUCAUGGACAAGGGACGAUGGCAUGAUCUGCGAUGCAUCGAUCGAGGUGCAUGUGCAUGUGCAUGCUCAUCAGGGUUUUGAUUCUCCGAUCCGAUCCUCUAGCUCAUCAUCGUCAGAGCGCGCCAGCAGAAGAUAAUCUUGAUUUUAAGACAGCAGUUUCGCAAGAAGAUCAUCGUCAGGCUCAUCAGGUUUUUAUUCUACACAAAGAAGAAACGGUUACCCAUCUCUUUCUCAGGCGCAAUUUCACAAGAAGAAGCUGGCAGACAAUUAGAUUAGCACCGCCCAGAACAUCUGACAUACACAAUGUGAUGAGAUUAACUUUUCAACAGCUUGAUGGAAAAUAGAAAGGGGAAGCAGUGAUGGUCAUGUUAUGGUGCAUAUGGAAGCG
Molecule: unclassified non-coding RNA, 690 nt
Filed under: Zea mays
Lineage: Eukaryota; Viridiplantae; Streptophyta; Magnoliopsida; Poales; Poaceae
Description: misc RNA Zm00001eb404770
Source: RNAcentral